UUAUAAAAUUAGUUCUUCUCUUUCAAAAUUUCGUGUGUGUGUUUUCCUUAAACCAACUGAGUUUUAAUAUAUCUGUUCAGUGUCCUAUUUUGUGGACUUCACAUAUAUCAUUUUUCAGGUAUGGGAACCAAACUACAAUGUACCAAUAGAUAAUGUGUCAACAUAGUGGAGAUAAUCCUAGUGGUUCUUCAACAAUAGUUAGACACAGCAAAACCAUAGAUGACUUUAGCAAUUCGGGGAAGCCGAAAAGAUCAGAGUCAAUAUGUGGGCGCUAGCUUUACAGAAGUUGUGGGUACAAUUUAUUUCCAUGAACUAACAAGAGUGGAGUUACUUUGUUGGAUUGCAUGUGGCAGCCAAUGAGUUCAUGAGGAAAAUCUAAAAAAGACUUGUAAGGAUGUCACUGCAGCUUCACUAUUUAAUAAAUGAUUUUUCAUAACACUGGGUUUUAUUUUCGCUGGUAGAUCCACUUACGAAAAUACCUCUAUUUUUGCAAGCAGGGCUCUUAAUUAAGACCCCGCUUGUAAAAAUCAACUUUUUAGGCACGACCUGCAAAAAUUGUGGGAGGACGUAAAAGGACAGACGUGUGGACCAACCAAAGAGGUGAAGCAUCUUUUCCCCCUCCCUCAGCUCUCCCCUGUGGCACUGUGAAAGUAGAUUAAAACUGCCUAAACAGCUUAGAAGAGUUCUCUACACGUACCAUCACAGUACUGGGUCUUCUCAAUCUGGAAGGAAAGAAGUACUAAUUAACAAUGUCUACAUCACAACCUUCUCCCUUGGCACCAGGAUGCUACAGGCCUAGAUCAAUGGCGGAAGAGGCGGCACUCUGGAGUGCAGCUGGUGCCGCGCUGCUCCAGCUUACGCCAGCUUAAUGUCGCUAGGUUAGCUGCCUAAUGUCGCUAGAUUAGGCUUAUGUCCUCCUGGGUUCUGCCUCCUUUUUGUUUUUGGUUGUACCAAACUUUAUUCAUCUUAAUGCAGUGACACGCAUUACUUAGGUUCAAGUGGUCAGAAAUUCAGUUUUUUCCACAUCUAUUUCUUUGACCAAACAAAGUAGAGAACUACAUGUUUCUUCCCAUACAUCUACAUUUUCAGGGAUAUGAAAUAGAACAGCCAGCACUACCAAAUUAACUGAGCUGGCUAUUCACAAAGCGAGAGACUCUAGCACAUCUCCCUUGCAGUGUCUGAUCACCAUCUUCCUUAUAUAAACUUCCAAAAUGAAACAUGAGAAAGAACUGUGGACACUAGCUAGACAGAAGGCAAAGGAUAGAAAAAAAAUGAAAGAACGAUUGUGACUUUGGGCAAUAAAUCCAUCUGAAUAUUGGUAGCAUAUUUUAGAGUAUAUCUAGUUUCCCACAAAGUGUUGGGUUCUGAAAGUAUAUGUGCUAAUGUGCAUGGGGAUGGGAAGCAUCAGCAUAAACAAGGCCAGAGAAGCCAAGAGUGAUGGGAUAUAAUAUGGAGGAGCCAGCACUGGUUUGGAGACAGUGAUGAUUAUUCGCAAACUGAGGCUAAGGCAUGUCACUGAACAUGGUGGUUUAUCGAGGAAAUCCCGUGACAUUUUUAUUUUCUCCCUGUUCCUCUCCUCGUCUAAAUUGAGUUGGAAAAGAGUAAAACGGAGCACGUUUUUAACUAAUACAAAAAAAUGGUUACGUGAAAACAUCAUUUUACUGAUGGCGUAUUAGUAAACUGUAAUAUAUCAUUUUUUUUUCAAAAAUGCUUGAUUGGUUGGAUUUGCAUACAUGAUUGAUUACCUAUUUAUUGCAUCUAUCUGUGUACUACUUGUGUAUUAAAUUGGGGUUCACAAACAGUUAAAUCACCGUAGAAACAAUGGAAUGUACUGUAGCAAUUAAUAUUGUCCAUCCAAAUUUGAUCUAACGGCUAUAAAUAGCUUAUGGCAUGGACCACUGUAGUUCUCUACCAUUCCAAUUAGAAUGACAGAGGAUACGAUUCCAUUAAAUUGGUGAUUUUGGCAUUAUUCCUUCAUGAGUUCUGGCGCCUAAACUAGAGGAGUAAUAUGGUGGUUUUGAAGGGGAAAAGUCAUGAUACCGUAUUUCUAUUUGGACUAAUUGUGAUUAAAUAACAGAAUGAGUAUAUAUAUGUAGCCUAGGGCAUCAUAACUAGCCGAGGAAAAGAAAAAAAAAAGACAGACCAAACCAAUUUGGUUUGGGUCUAGGUUUUAUAGCAUAGCACAAAUGACUAGGGCCAAGUUUAGUUCCAAAUUUUUUCUUUAAACUUUCAACUUUUCCAUCACAUUAAAACUUUCCUACACACACAAACUUCCAAUUUUUCUAUCACAUCGUUCCAAUUUUAACUAAACUUUUAAUUUUAGCGUGAACUAAACACACUCUAGAAGUAGCUAGAUAGCAAGUAGCACUGGAAAAUAGACUGCACUUUUCCUUCGGUUUUGCUGCCUCAACUCCUGUACGUGUCCAUGAGAAUUGGAGGCAUCAAGAACAAGAAAUCCAAAUCAUGUAGCCUAAAUUGUAUGAGAACCAUAUUAGAAUGAACUCAUACAGCACUUCGCAGCACAACAUUCCAUAAGCCUCCUACUGCUUCUUUGCUUCAAAGCCUUCAACCGUACUCUGACAACGAAACCGUAGAUGGACCCGAGUCCAGACAUGGCCCAAGGUCUGGAACAGUUGAGUUUAUUGCAGACCAGGGUGGUUCUCUCCGUUUCAGAGGAGCUAAUCUGAUUGUUUGGUUUUACUAAUACAUGGAGUAGAACAAGCCGAACAAUUGUGUAUCAGAAAAUGGCAGGGUUGGCAUGCAUGAGAAAGCAUAAAAACUACUGUAGAUGUAUGUAUCUCCUAUCGGAGUUUCGUUGUUUUGAGUAAAAAUUUUGAUAUUCUCAAAUAUAUAGUAGAAACUGCAAAAACAUCCGAAUGAUAUGUAGAACAGAAGCUGAUAUCACUUAAUUAGUUCAUGAUCUAUAUUAUAU
This is a non-coding RNA of Oryza sativa Japonica Group (Japanese rice), 2932 nucleotides long. NCBI's taxonomy places the organism in Eukaryota, Viridiplantae, Streptophyta, Magnoliopsida, Poales, Poaceae. The record is from RefSeq and is a predicted model, not a curated record.